RNAcentral lists this ribosomal RNA (967 nucleotides) under Lactiplantibacillus plantarum. Its description in RNAcentral is "bacterial SSU rRNA". It matches the Rfam family "Bacterial small subunit ribosomal RNA", at positions 32 to 961 of the family's 1533-position model. The record is from RNAcentral. Lineage: Bacteria; Bacillati; Bacillota; Bacilli; Lactobacillales; Lactobacillaceae.
UGCGCCGUGGCGGCCUGGCCCUAUACAUGCAGUCGAACGAACUCUGGUAUUGAUUGGUGCUUGCAUCAUGAUUUACAUUUGAGUGAGUGGCGAACUGGUGAGUAACACGUGGGAAACCUGCCCAGAAGCGGGGGAUAACACCUGGAAACAGAUGCUAAUACCGCAUAACAACUUGGACCGCAUGGUCCGAGUUUGAAAGAUGGCUUCGGCUAUCACUUUUGGAUGGUCCCGCGGCGUAUUAGCUAGAUGGUGGGGUAACGGCUCACCAUGGCAAUGAUACGUAGCCGACCUGAGAGGGUAAUCGGCCACAUUGGGACUGAGACACGGCCCAAACUCCUACGGGAGGCAGCAGUAGGGAAUCUUCCACAAUGGACGAAAGUCUGAUGGAGCAACGCCGCGUGAGUGAAGAAGGGUUUCGGCUCGUAAAACUCUGUUGUUAAAGAAGAACAUAUCUGAGAGUAACUGUUCAGGUAUUGACGGUAUUUAACCAGAAAGCCACGGCUAACUACGUGCCAGCAGCCGCGGUAAUACGUAGGUGGCAAGCGUUGUCCGGAUUUAUUGGGCGUAAAGCGAGCGCAGGCGGUUUUUUAAGUCUGAUGUGAAAGCCUUCGGCUCAACCGAAGAAGUGCAUCGGAAACUGGGAAACUUGAGUGCAGAAGAGGACAGUGGAACUCCAUGUGUAGCGGUGAAAUGCGUAGAUAUAUGGAAGAACACCAGUGGCGAAGGCGGCUGUCUGGUCUGUAACUGACGCUGAGGCUCGAAAGUAUGGGUAGCAAACAGGAUUAGAUACCCUGGUAGUCCAUACCGUAAACGAUGAAUGCUAAGUGUUGGAGGGUUUCCGCCCUUCAGUGCUGCAGCUAACGCAUUAAGCAUUCCGCCUGGGGAGUACGGCCGCAAGGCUGAAACUCAAAGGAAUUGACGGGGGCCCGCACAAGCGGUGGAGCAUGUGGUUUAAUUCGAAGCUACG